This 588-nucleotide ribosomal RNA is filed under the name uncultured Gammaproteobacteria bacterium. RNAcentral describes it as "bacterial SSU rRNA". It matches the Rfam family "Bacterial small subunit ribosomal RNA", at positions 8 to 594 of the family's 1533-position model. The record is from RNAcentral. Lineage: Bacteria; Pseudomonadati; Pseudomonadota; Gammaproteobacteria.
AGAGUUUGAUCCUGGCACAGGAUGAACGCUGGCGGCGUGCUUAACACAUGCAAGUCGAACGAAGCACUUAGAAUUGAUUUCUUCGGAUUGAUUUUCUUUGUGACUGAGUGGCGGACGGGUGAGUAACGCGUGGGUAACCUGCCUCAUACAGGGGGAUAACAGUUAGAAAUGACUGCUAAUACCGCAUAAGCGCACAGUGCCGCAUGGUACAGUGUGAAAAACUCCGGUGGUAUGAGAUGGACCCGCGUCUGAUUAGCUAGUUGGUGGGGCAACGGCCUACCAAGGCGACGAUCAGUAGCCGACCUGAGAGGGUGACCGGCCACAUUGGGACUGAGACACGGCCCAAACUCCUACGGGAGGCAGCAGUGGGGAAUAUUGCACAAUGGGGGAAACCCUGAUGCAGCGACGCCGCGUGAAGGAAGAAGUAUCUCGGUAUGUAAACUUCUAUCAGCAGGGAAGAAAAUGACGGUACCUGACUAAGAAGCCCCGGCUAACUACGUGCCAGCAGCCGCGGUAAUACGUAGGGGGCAAGCGUUAUCCGGAUUUACUGGGUGUAAAGGGAGCGUAGACGGUAUGGCAAGUCUGAUG